Molecule: ribosomal RNA, 878 nt
Filed under: Aphelenchoides sp. Dandong
Lineage: Eukaryota; Metazoa; Nematoda; Chromadorea; Rhabditida; Aphelenchoididae
Description: SSU rRNA
Rfam family: Eukaryotic small subunit ribosomal RNA
Source: RNAcentral
AGAUAAUGGUUAACAGGAACAGCUGGGGGCACUCGUAUCGCUGCGCGAGAGGUGAAAUUCGUGGACCGCAGCGAGACGCCCGAAAGCGAAGGCAUUUGCCAAGAGUGUUUUCAUUAAUCAAGAACGAAAGUCAGAGGUUCGAAGGCGAUUAGAUACCGCCCUAGUUCUGACCGUAAACGAUGCCAACUAUCAAUCCGCCAGUGGCUUUCAGUCAUUGGCGGGCGGAUCGACGGAAACGAAAGUUUUUCGGUUCCGGGGGAAGUAUGGUUGCAAAGCUGAAACUUAAAGGAAUUGACGGAAGGGCACCACCAGGAGUGGAGCUUGCGGCUUAAUUUGACUCAACACGGGAAACCUCACCCGGCCAGUACAUCAUAAGGAUUGACAGAUUGAAAGCUCUUUCAUGAUUUGAUGAAUGGUGGUGCAUGGCCGUUCUUAGUUCGUGGCGUGAGUCGUCUGCUUAAUUGCGAUAACGAGCGAGACUCCGACUGCUAAAUACCCCGGUCAUCAUCAAGUGGCCAGGGGUUCUUAGCUGGAUUUGUGACUUGAAGUCUCAAGAAAUGGAGCAAUAACAGGUCUGUGAUGCCCUUAGAUGUUCGGGGCCGCACGCGUGCUACAAUGGUGGUAACAGCGUGAUUGUCCUCGCCCGACAGGGCUUGGCAAACAGUUGAGAUAUUAUUAUGGCUGGAAUUGAGUGUUGAAAUUUUCUCUCAUGAACGAGGAAUUCCAAGUAAAUGCGAGUCAUCAACUUGCAUUGAUUACGUCCCUGCCCUUUGUACACACCGCCCGUCGCUACCCGGGACUGAGUUGUUUCGAGAAAUCCCCGAAUCGGACACUCACGUGUCUGAGAAGUGGAUUAAUCGCAGUGGCUGGGAACCAGA